This 220-nucleotide long non-coding RNA is filed under the name Phoenix dactylifera (date palm). Its description in RNAcentral is "long non-coding RNA (PDAC_LNC022388)". The record is from RNAcentral. Lineage: Eukaryota; Viridiplantae; Streptophyta; Magnoliopsida; Arecales; Arecaceae.
GAUGAACAUGCUAGCACGUGUUGCAAACCCUAGCUCCUGAUUCAAAUUAAAUUCGAAUCUGAUUCUUAGAUUAGGUUGAUCUAAUAUGAUUAAAUCAUGACCUAAUAUGGGUUAGCCAAGAGUUGAAACCCAUUUGGCUUUAAUUAGACCUGAUUUGAUUAGGUUUAAUGUUUUCUUUAAGUUGGUUAAACCCAAUUGGAUUGGGUUUGAUAGGACCUUC